GGAAGGAUCAUUAACAAAUUACAACGUUUGUUGCAAAACCCAAUCUGUGUAUUCUUACUUGUUGCUUCCCCGGGGGCCUGCCCCCGGGGAAGGUAACCAAAAAACCCUGUUUUAUCUGAAAUCAGUCUGAACUUUGUUUAUUUAUAAUCAAACGUUUAAAACUUUCAACAACGGAUCUCUUGGUUCUCCCAUCGAUGAAGAACGCAGCGAAAUGCGAUAAGUAGUGUGAAUUGCAGAAUUCAGUGAAUCAUCGAAUCUUUGAACGCACAUUGCGCCCCCUGGCAUUCCGGGGGGCAUGCCUGUUCGAGCGUCAUCAAAACCUCUCAGGCUGGGGUUCCGUCUAUUGGAACCGUCAGCUUGGUCUUGGGCCCGAGGAGUCGAAUCCUCCGCCUGCAAUCCAGUGGCAAAUAUCCUGCACAGCAUGAGCGUGAUAAGCAUGUCAGUCGCAAAUGAACGAAGGGAAUAUUUCGCCAGAACCCCCACAUAUCUUUCCAGUUUGACCUCGGAUCAGGUAGGGAUACCCGCUGAACUUAAGCAUAUCAAUAAGCGGAGGAAAAGAAACCAACAGGGAUUGCCUUAGUAACUGCGAGUGAAGCGGCAAAAGCUCAAAUUUGAAAUCUGUGGCCUCAAACCGGGCCACCGAGUUGUAAUUUUGAGAUACGUUUUCGACCGAUAGGCCUGUCUUAAGUUCCUUGGAACAGGACGUCACAGAGGGUGAGAAUCCCGUGAAAGGUAGGCCUUGACGCAUAUGUGACGUAUUCAACGAGUCGAGUUGUUUGGGAAUGCAGCUCAAAAUGGGUGGUAAAUUUCAUCUAAAGCUAAAUAUUGGGGAGAGACCGAUAGCGCACAAGUAGAGUGAUCGAAAGAUGAAAAGCACUUUGAAAAGAGAGUUAAAAAGUACGUGAAAUUGUUGAAAGGGAAGCGCUCGAGACCAGACUCAAUACGGUGCUGAUCAACUGCAGUUCUCUGCUGUGCACUCAGCUCUCAUUGGGACAGCAUCGGUUCUGGCGGAGGGACAAAGCCUCAGGAAAUGUGGCACUCCUAUCAGGGGUGUGUUAUAGUCCUUUGGGUAAUGCCUCCAGCCGGGACCGAGGACCGCGCCUAGGCUAGGAUGCUGUCAUAAUGGUCUUCAGCGACCCGUCUUGAAACACGGACCAAGGAGUCUAACAUCUAUGCGAGUGUUCGGGUGGAAAACCCUUGCGCGUAAUGAAGGUGAACGGAGGUGGGAAUCAUUUGAUGCACCAUCGAC
RNAcentral lists this ribosomal RNA (1249 nucleotides) under uncultured fungus. RNAcentral's name for it is "eukaryotic LSU rRNA". The stretch from base 498 to 1249 matches the Rfam family "Eukaryotic large subunit ribosomal RNA", at positions 1 to 765 of the family's 3401-position model. Lineage: Eukaryota; Fungi. The record is from RNAcentral.